This 1188-nucleotide long non-coding RNA is filed under the name Numida meleagris (helmeted guineafowl). RNAcentral's name for it is "lncRNA (ENSNMEG00000000694.1)". Lineage: Eukaryota; Metazoa; Chordata; Aves; Galliformes; Numididae. The record is from RNAcentral.
CCAUGGGGAUGGUAUGGGGACACCAUGGGGAUGCUAUGGGGACACUAUGGGGAUGCUACAGGGACACUAUGGGGAUGCUACAGGGACACUAUGGGGAUGCUACAGGGACACUAUGGGGACACCAUGGGGAUGCUAUGGGGACGCCAUGGGGAUGGCAUGGGGAUGGCAUGGGGACGCCAUGGGGACACCAUGGGGAUGCUAUGGGGACACCAUGGGGAUGCUACGGGGACACCAUGGGGAUGCUAUGGGGACAGCAUGGGGACACUAUGGGGAUGCUAUGGGGAUACUAUGGGGAUGCUAUGGGGACGCCAUGGAGAUGGUAUGGGGACAGUACAGGGACGCCAUGGGGAUGCCAUGGGGAUGCUACGGGGACGCUAUGGGGAUGCUAUGGGGAUGCUAUGGGGACACCACGGGGAUGCUAUGGGGACACCAUGGGGAUGCUAUGGGGACACCAUGGGGAUGCUAUGGGGACGGCAUGGGGACACCAUGGGGAUGGUAUGGGGACGCUAUGGGGACAGUACAGGGAUGCCAUGGGGAUGCCAUGGGGAUGCUACGGGGACACUAUGGGGACACUAUGGGGAUGCUAUAGGGACACCACAGGGAUGCUAUAGGGACACCACGGGGAUGCUAUGGGGACACUAUGGGGAUGCUAUGGGGACGCCAUGGGGAUGCUAUAGGGACGCCAUGGGGAUGCUAUAGGGACGCCAUGGGGACGCCAUGGGGACGCCAUGGAGAUGCUAUGGGGACACCAUGGGGAUGGUAUGGGGACACUAUGGGGACACCAUGGGGAUGCUAUGGGGACACCACGGGGAUGCUACGGGGACACUAUGGGGACAGCAUGGGGAUGCUAUGGGGAUGCUAUGGGGAUGGCAUUGUGAUAGAAAUGUGGAGAUAAUAUAAUUUUUCUAAUUUUUUUUUUUUCUAAUUAUAGAUUUCUAUAAUUUGACUUAAAUUGUCAAAUUUAUGACAGCAUGGGGAUGCUAUGGGGACAGCAUGGGGACGCCAUAGGGACACUAUGGGGAUGCUACGGGGACACCAUGGGGAUGCUAUGGGGAUGCCAUGAGGAUGCCAUGGGGACACUGUGGGGACAGUACAGGGACGCCAUGGGGAUGCUAUGGGGACGCUAUGGGGACUCUAUGGGGACGCUAUGGGGCACAGACCCGCUGCUGCUGGUGGGCCACCUUCCUC